CUCUCUCUUUCUCUUCUCUCUCACUCCUCUUUUUCUCUCUCUCUGCUAGAUCUAUGGCGGCGGCGACUGCAUGUCGUAGAUGAGGCGGAGGAAGUGGCGGCUAGGGUUUGGUUGUCCUGUGGUCAUCGGGAUUUGAGAGGAGACCGGAUUUGGGAGCCUAGGGUUUGGCGGCGGCGGCCCUACCGUCGUUCAGAUCGGAGCAGGAAGAGACGAGCGAGGGGAAGGGAGAUGUGUGGGGGUGGCCGUUGUUUCGCCGGCGGUUGCUAUUACGGUUGUGUAUGUGUGUACUGGGAGAGAAUGUCGAGAUAGGUAACCGGCGGUCUCGUCCUUGUCAGAAGAGAAGAGAGGCCAGGGGUUUUAGAGUGAUUUGUUUGUUUUUUUUUUCUCAUUCUCUUCCUCACGCCGCCUGCGAUCCCAUCUCCGACAAAUCGCCGUCAUUGUCUCGCCUCUCGUUGCCUCGUCUCUCUCUAUCUCUCAUACACCUCGUCGCUCGC
This 494-nucleotide long non-coding RNA is filed under the name Salvia miltiorrhiza (redroot sage). Its description in RNAcentral is "long non-coding RNA (SMIL_LNC001873)". Lineage: Eukaryota; Viridiplantae; Streptophyta; Magnoliopsida; Lamiales; Lamiaceae. The record is from RNAcentral.